AUCCAGCUGUCGAGUCCCAAAUAGGACGAAAUGCGCGUCCUGGAU
Molecule: non-coding RNA, 45 nt
Filed under: Schistosoma margrebowiei
Lineage: Eukaryota; Metazoa; Platyhelminthes; Trematoda; Strigeidida; Schistosomatidae
Source: RNAcentral